GUCGGUGUGGCGCAGUGGUUACCGCGUUCGGCUGCUAACCGGAUUCCUUCGGGUUCCUGGGUUCGAAUCCCAGCGCCGACG
Molecule: transfer RNA, 81 nt
Filed under: Aspergillus terreus
Lineage: Eukaryota; Fungi; Ascomycota; Eurotiomycetes; Eurotiales; Aspergillaceae
Also listed under: 1 other name
Description: tRNA-Ser
Rfam family: tRNA
About the family: Transfer RNA (tRNA) molecules are approximately 80 nucleotides in length. Their secondary structure includes four short double-helical elements and three loops (D, anti-codon, and T loops).
Source: RNAcentral